This 231-nucleotide unclassified non-coding RNA is filed under the name fungal sp. RNAcentral's name for it is "partial internal transcribed spacer region". The stretch from base 1 to 48 matches the Rfam family "Eukaryotic small subunit ribosomal RNA", at positions 1784 to 1831 of the family's 1831-position model. Lineage: Eukaryota; Fungi. The record is from RNAcentral.
AAAAGUCGUAACAAGGUCUCCGUAGGUGAACCUGCGGAGGGAUCAUUAACAAAUCUACACACACACACACAUAUCCUGUGUAACUGUCUGUUCCUGGGAGAAGUGGUAUUCGUAUCACCCACACCAGGAACAUCAUCACAAACACACACACUUUGUCAGUCAGUAUGAUACAUGCAUACGCAUGCAAAAUCAAUCUACAAACAACUUUUAACAAUGGAUCUCUUGGCUCUU